GACGAACGCUGGCGGCGUGCCUAAUACAUGCAAGUAGAACGCACAGUUUAUACCGUAGCUUGCUACACCAUAGACUGUGAGUUGCGAACGGGUGAGUAACGCGUAGGUAACCUGCCUGGUAGCGGGGGAUAACUAUUGGAAACGAUAGCUAAUGCCGCAUAAUAUUGAUUAUUGCAUGAUAAUUGAUUGAAAGAUGCUAUUGCAUCACUACCAGAUGGACCUGCGUUGUAUUAGCUAGUAGGUGAGGUAACGGCUCACCUAGGCGACGAUACAUAGCCGACCUGAGAGGGUGAUCGGCCACACUGGGACUGAGACACGGCCCAGACUCCUACGGGAGGCAGCAGUAGGGAAUCUUCGGCAAUGGACGAAAGUCUGACCGAGCAACGCCGCGUGAGUGAAGAAGGUUUUCGGAUCGUAAAGCUCUGUUGUAAGAGAAGAACGGGUGUGAGAGUGGAAAGUUCACACUGUGACGGUAUCUUACCAGAAAGAGACGGCUAACUACGUG
RNAcentral lists this ribosomal RNA (505 nucleotides) under uncultured bacterium. RNAcentral's name for it is "partial 16S ribosomal RNA". It matches the Rfam family "Bacterial small subunit ribosomal RNA", at positions 28 to 507 of the family's 1533-position model. The record is from RNAcentral.